This 610-nucleotide ribosomal RNA is filed under the name uncultured bacterium. RNAcentral's name for it is "bacterial SSU rRNA". It matches the Rfam family "Bacterial small subunit ribosomal RNA", at positions 338 to 951 of the family's 1533-position model. The record is from RNAcentral.
CCUACGGGAGGCAGCAGUAAGGAAUAUUGGUCAAUGGACGCAAGUCUGAACCAGCCAUGCCGCGUGAAGGAUUAAGGCCCUCUGGGUUGUAAACUUCUUUUAUAGGGGACGAAAAAAGGGCAUUCUUGCUCACUUGACGGUACCCUAGGAAUAAGCACCGGCUAACUCCGUGCCAGCAGCCGCGGUAAUACGGAGGGUGCAAGCGUUAUCCGGAUUUACUGGGUUUAAAGGGUGCGUAGGUGGGUUGGUAAGUCAGUGGUGAAAUCUUCGAGCUUAACUCGGAAACUGCCAUUGAUACUAUCAAUCUUGAAUCAUCUAGAGGUAAGCGGAAUAUGUCAUGUAGCGGUGAAAUGCUUAGAUAUGACAUAGAACACCAAUUGCGAAGGCAGCUUACUAUGGAUGCAUUGACACUGAGGCACGAAAGCGUGGGGAUCAAACAGGAUUAGAUACCCUGGUAGUCCACGCCCUAAACGAUGGAUACUCGACAUUUGUGAUAUACAAUAAGUGUCUGAGCGAAAGCAUUAAGUAUCCCACCUGGAAGUACGACCGCAAGGUUGAAACUCAAAUGAAUUGACGGCUGAGACGAGCGAGACGACGACGAGGGAGGAGG